Molecule: RNA transcript, 3572 nt
Organism: Rhinopithecus roxellana (golden snub-nosed monkey)
Lineage: Eukaryota; Metazoa; Chordata; Mammalia; Primates; Cercopithecidae
Gene: PRCD
Gene name: photoreceptor disc component
Exons: 7
Source: RefSeq, a predicted model, not a curated record
GGUACAGCAACAACAGGUCUGUUUAAUGACACAGCUGGGUCUGGUUACAAACAUCAGAAACUAGAAAAGGAGGACAGGCAGUUACACAGAUGAAGAUGAGGAUGGGCCAGGAGGGGACACAGGCAUAGUAGCCACAGCAGCAAAACAUCCUUGGAGACGAUACAUGUGACCAAGGGGCACACAUGGGGGCCCCCCAGCAAGGCUGGCGCACAUGAAUAGACGGGGCCGACUGCCGGCCAGGAGGAGAGGGGGGUGGGGAAAGCCCUCAGCCCUCAGGGCUGAGGGGGAGACCCAGGCAUGUGGUCUCGCCAACCUGCUGCCCAGCAGCCCGGAUUCCCCGGGGCUACCCUGGUGGCCAAGGCAGGUGGAGCUGGCGGUGGAGGUUUCUGGAUGGAGGCCCCUCCACUAGUGCGCUCAUCCCAUCCAGAACUUCGCUCUGCCCUUGCCCAUUCUAGGGCAGUCAAGAGCCCAGCGACGUGGAUGGGGCAGCUAGGGGCAGCAGCGUGGACGCGGACCCUCAGUCCUCAGGCAGGGAGAAAGGACCUCUGAAGUAAGCCCUCACCUCUGCAGGUGGGGCUGAGGCCCAGAGACUGAGACCAGCUGGCCCAGGCAGCUCAGGUCCUGGUUCGUCUCCUAGCCCAGGAGGAUGCUGUGGGAGACGGAGUAGCAGCAAGAGGGAGAAUGGGGGGAAGCAGCACUAGAGAAAUUCCCAGAGCUCAUCCUGUCACUGGCUGCUCUGCUGAAAUUAUCAAUAAGAAAUGCCAGUUGGAUCUGUGACAUGUCUGCCUGCAGCUGGAUGGGAGCAACUGACAGCUUGUCCUCCGAAUGUGUUUUCUGUAUGUGCACGAGCGCAUGUGUUCCAAACGGGCAGUAGCGUGUGGGAAGGAAAAAGCCUGACACUUGUUUUUGUCAAUUUGCUGAUGCUCAGUCCCGGCGGCUGCCUUCUUUGCCCCCAGCUGCUCUGCCAUUUCUCUUUUUCCAAUUCUGCGCGAUCCUGAGCAGAGAUAAAAGCAGAUUUCCGCUUCUGCUCCCAGAUCCAGGCGCAGACCCUGCAGGCAGCUGCUCCCGACGUCUCACAGCUAUUAGUCUUCAAAAGCCCCCCGUGCCUCUGUGCACACACGUCUCUCCUCCCCAGCCAGCCCCCCUCCCAGUCCAGUGGCGUUGUCUCUGCCUGGCUGGCCCUUGCCCUUGACUUCCAGGCAGUAGGAGAUGGAGUUCUCUAGACAGCAGCACCUCAGCCGCCGCUCCGCCUCUGAAGGGAGGGAAGGGAAAGGGGUGCUGGCUACUGUGCAAUAACAGAGUCCAAGAGCAAGAUGUCCAGAGUCAGAGCUCCUGGGUGUGAACCUUGUUCCACCAGGACAUCCUACCUCUGUGGCCUGGGUUUCUGAACACCUCUGUGCCUCAGUUUCUUUAGCUGUAGGAUGCAGAUCCUACUGGUAUCUGUGUCUUAGAGUUGUUGUAAGGGUUGAUUAGAUAACGCGUGGAAGAUGUUUAGCACAUUGGGUAAGUGUCCCAUAUAUGUGAGCUGGCACAAUCCGGUUUGAACUGUAAAUUACUGAACAGUGGUAGAUUCAGGAUGGCUAGAGUUCCUCACAUCUUCACUCUGUGAUCCUUCCUGCUGUCUUUCCACAUAUACAGAGCUGGGCGACCAGUAGUUCUGCAACAGAUUAGAGGAUGGCAGAGGGUGGCAUUGCUGGGGUGGGGAAGCCCCCUGUAAGCCUGUAUGGAGAAGACCACCUCUACCUCUCUGUGCCCAGAACCAUGUCCCAAUCUCCAGUGGGGCCUCGACCUGGACACUGCCACUCCCAGCUGGCUCUGCUUCCGGAAUGAACCUUAGCUCCUUGACAAGAUGGGAGGCGCUGCCCUGCCGUGGUGCCUUCCUCCGUGUGAAUGCUAAUCUCUCUGCUGGGGGAGCCUGAGUGACAGGGAAAGGCUGCUUGGAACUGCAGGGCGGCUGAGGGCAGCAGCCAGGAGCAGGGAGGUGCUGCUCCUGCGACUGAGGCUCAGGGUGGCUGCCAGUCUCUCCUGGAGACUGGAGCAUGACCAGGGAACGAAUGAGGUGGCGGGGGUGUGGUGGGAGCGAGGGAAGUAGCCACCACAGCUGUGGCUGUCCACUGUCACCCUGGGGUGUAGAUGUCACCCUGGGGAGUACCCACCCACUCCAAGUGUGCGCUUGUGUGUGUGUGUGGUUGUGUGUGUGUGGGGUGCGCAGACAGUCCUGGGCAAGGGCAAACAGCAGAGGUGCUGGGCCAAGACUAGAUGGGUAGGGCACGGUGCCUGCUCUGAGACAGGCACGAUGGCGAGAGAGCAAACCCUGCUGGUUCCUCAGGCUCCUGUAGCCCCUCUGCUGUUAGGAAGAAGCCCAAGACCUAGAGCUAGAAGAUAAUGCUUCUUUGUGAACCUCAGAAGAACAUCAAAGUGGUUCGCACGGAAGCUUAUGUUAAUAUAAUGAUGAUACUAACCAUAUGAUUAAUAACCACUAACAUGCAUUAGGCGCUUACUAUGUGCUAGGCACCGUGCCAGCUGCUGUAUUUUACCCACUAUUUCAUUUAUGCGACAGGAACAGUUAUCAUUUAUCCAAUAAGGAAAGUGAGGUUCACCGAACUUGCUUAAGGUCACUCAUAGCUGGCAGCGAAGCCAGGACCUAAGCCUGGGAAAUUUGAUGCCAAAGCUUGGGAUAGAGGGAGCCGAGUCUCGAGUUGGGGGCCGUGAGAAAAUUCUGGUUGUGACCUGUCUACAAGGCACAAGGAAUGGAGCUGUGGGCCUGCCUGCGCUGCCUUUGCAGGUGGGCUGGUGUUGGCCAGGGUCAUCACCACUGUUCUGUCUUCAGGAACUCACAUUCAAGGGCACACCAGACUCUGGGCCCUGAGAGGCUGCUUCUUGCCUGCCAGGUGAGGGGGAGAGGACAGCUGCCCCUUUAGGAUCCCCCAGUCUUCCACAGGGAGGACGUGGUGGCCCCUGGCAGGGAUGACAGACAGCGAGGUCAUCACCCACACUCACUGCCACUGCCACUGCCACUCUGUUGCCUCCUUCAGCCAGGGGCAGGGCCCUGGGGAGAGGACAGGACGGUAGCUAGCAGCCCAUCUGGAGACGGGAGCCUGUCCUUCAGCUCCUACUUAAUGGAAGCCUUGCAGAUGCAAGAUGGCUCCAGCAGGCCCAGCAUCACUUCUUCACAGUGUCCCAAAGCAAGAAAAAAGGCUGUUGUUUUUUAAAGCAGGAAAACUUUCCCAAACUUGGCCAGAAUUGCAUCGCAGACCCUUUCCCAAAACAAUUUCCAGCGAAGGGAAUAGACUGACCAUGUCUGGCACAGAUGAAUGAAGAUUUGCCCCUGGGGGCUAGGGAGGGGCUUGCCCCCGCUGAAGCAGACCCUUGCCCAGCAGCUGAACAGAGCCUAGGUUCAUCAGAUGGAGGAAGAGACUGGCCGCUAACAGUGCCUGACAUACAGAUGUGCUUCCUGUGAUGCCGCUGCUGCCACCGCUCCAAAUGUAAGCAGUCAGCUGCUUGGGAUACUACCUACCUUCUUUUGUGUUCUUAUUAAUACAAUUAAAGAUUGCUUUCUGGGUAGAGAAAUU